AUCUUCCACAAUGGACGAAAGUCUGAUGGAGCAACGCCGCGUGAGCGAAGUAGGUUUUCGGAUCGUAAAGCUCUGUUGCUAGGGCAGAACAAGUACGUGAGUAACUGCCCGUACCUUGACGGUACCUCGUCAGUAACCCACGGCUACCUACUUGCCAGCAGCCGCGGUAAUACGUAGGUGGCAAGCGUUGUCCGGAAUUAUUGGGCGUAAAGCGCGCGCAGGCGGUCAUUUAAGUCUGAUGUGAAAGCCCACGGCUCAACCGUGGAGGGUCAUUGGAAACUGGAGGACUUGAGUACAGAAGAGGAAAGCGGAAUUCCACGUGUAGCGGUGAAAUGCGUAGAGAUGUGGAGGAACACCAGUGGCGAAGGCGGCUUUCUGGUCUGUAACUGACGCUGAGGCGCGAAAGCGUGGGGAGCAAACA
RNAcentral lists this ribosomal RNA (421 nucleotides) under uncultured bacterium. RNAcentral's name for it is "partial 16S ribosomal RNA". It matches the Rfam family "Bacterial small subunit ribosomal RNA", at positions 361 to 774 of the family's 1533-position model. The record is from RNAcentral.